Xenopus tropicalis (tropical clawed frog) is the source of this 322-nucleotide long non-coding RNA. RefSeq lists it as uncharacterized. The transcript is spliced from 3 exons. The record is from RefSeq and is a predicted model, not a curated record. NCBI's taxonomy places the organism in Eukaryota, Metazoa, Chordata, Amphibia, Anura, Pipidae.
GCUGACUGGAGAGGUUGCCAUAAGGUGUGAGGAUGUUUCCAUCUAUUUUUCCUUGGAGGAGUGGGAGUAUAUAAAAGGAAACCAGGCCCUUUACAUGGAAGCGAGAAAGGAGGAGGAGCCCCAGCAGCUCCACCCACUGGAUUGUGAAUAUGAAGCUAUUACAGCUAAUCACGAAGCUGCAGUGUCUUGCAAUAAUGGCCUGAGGGAGAUUGUGGCCGAAGGAGCAGAUUUUUGUUCUGAUGAAAAUCUCACAAACCCUGAAAUCCCUCCUGCAGAACAGCCCCCACCAGCCAAUGGGAUUAAAGAGGAAGCGGCUUCAUGG